Molecule: long non-coding RNA, 777 nt
Organism: Eptesicus fuscus (big brown bat)
Lineage: Eukaryota; Metazoa; Chordata; Mammalia; Chiroptera; Vespertilionidae
Exons: 2
Source: RefSeq, a predicted model, not a curated record
GAUGCUGCGGUCGGGUCUCCGGCGGAGGGAGGGAGCUGGCGCUUUGGUCCCCCCCACAACCCCCCAACUUUGAGUCCCGCUGGGAAUUGGGGUCCCUCCAGGCAUCAGUUCCCUCCGGACGCCCCGGGAGCGCCCCAGUCCUGGCCUAGGCCUCGGAGCAGCCAGGCGCCCGCGGCCCAGCGCUGACCUCGGGCCCCGCCUCGCCCGGCCCGGCGUCCUCCCGGGUUCGAGGCCGGCUAGGGGAGGGAGUGGGUUGGGAUCGAGGAAAUAGGCUCAUUUUGAUCCUGUCCCCGGAAUAAAACGAAUGAGGUCGAUAGACCUCUUUUCUCCCCCGCUGAUCCCCUGGCCCGCCCGCUCGCCGCGCCCGCGCCGGGGUCCCCGCGCUGAGAAGCCCGGCAGGAGCCGCGAGAGCCUGCGGCUGAGCAGCCGAGAGAAAUCGGCCUGGAAAUGUCCAGCUAGGCCAUCCCAGUAACAAUUCCUAAACGGAAACAAGCGACGGAGAGAGUGCCCUUUGCCCAGUCUGAUUGCCGACGAGCCCUUUCCCGCUAAGAAGAUUAUGUUUUGUAUUUUGGAUGCUGCUCUCUCAGACUGAAUCUCAGGGUAAAGUUGUAUGUGCAGGAUAGCCUAUAAUUUCUGCAUUGCUGAAAAUUAGCAUAUUAACGAUAAUAGUAGCUCUGGAAAGGGGGAGAGAGGACUGUUCCUGCCAUUUGGUAAUUGAAAUUUGAUGGGUAAACUAAUUACACCAUUAUUAACAAAUAAAUUACUUAUUUAAUUCCA